GGAGAGGUGCAGGAGUGGUUGAACUGGCCGCUCUCGAAAAGCGGUGAACCGUAAGGUUCCGAGGGUUCGAAUCCCUCCCUCUCCGCCA
RNAcentral lists this transfer RNA (88 nucleotides) under Candidatus Microsaccharimonas sossegonensis. Its description in RNAcentral is "bacterium AMD02 tRNA-Ser". It matches the Rfam family "tRNA". Rfam says of the family: Transfer RNA (tRNA) molecules are approximately 80 nucleotides in length. Their secondary structure includes four short double-helical elements and three loops (D, anti-codon, and T loops). The record is from RNAcentral. Lineage: Bacteria; Candidatus Saccharimonadota; Candidatus Saccharimonadia; Saccharimonadales (SeqCode); Saccharimonadaceae (SeqCode).